Molecule: non-coding RNA, 28 nt
Filed under: Bombyx mori (domestic silkworm)
Lineage: Eukaryota; Metazoa; Arthropoda; Insecta; Lepidoptera; Bombycidae
Source: RNAcentral
UGCGUUUCGGUUUGAAGGGUGGGGCAGC